CCUAAACCAAUAAAUUAAUUAGGCUCAGCAAUGGUUAUGAACAAGAGUAAUAAAGCAUGAAUUUAAGUACUCCAUGGACAUUGCAUUACUUGUAGUUGGGCCUUAAAAGCAUUUGCAAAGUUAAACCCCCCUUAAAUGAGUCCAAAAUGUUUCCAUUAAACAGAAGUUUCUAAUAAACCAUUAAAUCAAUUUUCAGAUACAUUUUUGAGACCUUGUUUACAGGUAUGAAUCACUGAAAAAUAACCAUGAAAUGACAAUUCUAAGAAACACAACAGACCUACUCAAGAACAUUUUUAGUAAUCAAUAAAAUGGAAAAAUAGGGACACAUCGCUUUUAUGUGCUGAUAGGAAAUGCAUUAACAUAUAGUGUUGAAUAUUCCCAAAUUAACCAACAUCCAAGCAUUGUUAGCUACAGAUUCAUAAACAACUUCCAAGUUUGUACACAAAAGAUGAUUUACCGAACUGUAGACAUACUUAGCAUCCAUGACAUGUUACUGUUCUACUGCUAGAGAUACAGACCUUCCCCAGAGGCGAGUUAGUUGAAGUAACAUCUCAGAAUCUGAUCUCUACAAAACAGUGUAUGGAAGGAAGAAUGCUGAAAAGCAGUUUUCCUCCAUUUACUAGUAGGAAGGGGUUGGAAAUAAUCAAAGUUGUAAAUAAGGCCUGUCUCAGUAGAAACUACAGAAUCAUUCUUACUGCCUUGAUUUCUCAAGCUGAGAGUUUCAAUGAAAUUAAGCUCUAUGCAGUAACAAGACAUCUCAUCUAAAUAUGCUUUUUUCAGACAACAGAGUAUGUGAAAUGACAGAUAAUUGGCAGCUGUUCCACAGCUCUUAUCACUAGUUCUUAGAAAAAGUUAACACAGCUUUUCAUAGAAGGGGAAGAAUUGUCAGCUGCUGAUCUUGCCCUCUCUUCUCCCCAUAACCACCCAAAAAGGAGGAAGAAACCCCAACCCACACACAAAACCCCCGAGUACUCCUUACAACCCACGAUGCACCAUUCUCAAUUGAGUUUUCCCAUGGAGAAUUCAAAAAUUAUGUUAACAUCAUGUUAUCAUCCAGAGGGACCUCGACAGGAUAAAGAGGUGGGCCUGUGUGAACCUUAUGAAGCUGAACAAGGCCAGUUUUCCACUAUAUGAAGAAUUUUACUUCAGUAUCAUUAAACAAAGGUUUUCAGGUGUGAACUCAAAUGGAGUCUCUGGAUUGUUUUCAGGACUAUCUCUAUGCUUCAAGAAAAGAAGAAAAACGUGUAAAAAUGGUUUGUUAGAAGAUUACUCAGGACAUAUUUACUGUUGUAAAAUACCUUCUCGUUACACAGUUACAGUUGGGCUGCUUGAAUAAAAACUAUGUACUCCCACAUAAAAAUGGCACAGUACUAAAGUGAUUCAAUAUAUUUGGAAAAGUUAUCAAAAAUAUUGAUAAUUAUUUCAUCACUCUUGAAAAUCAUUACCUAUUCCCAUUACUUCCUGAUAAAGAAAUUAUUUACUGAGAAAUACAUGAGCUUAUAUAUUGAGAAAAUGUAUGGUGCUGUUAUCACAAUACAUAUUUUUAACACUGUUAAUACAGUUUGAUAAUUAUGUUUAAAUUUAAAAUAGGCAGAGUAAGAAUGCUCUGGUUAAUACCCUAAAAAACAAGAGACUAAAACAACAGUUCAUUUUUUCCUUUACCAUGAAACAUUAAUUUUAAAAAAGCUCCACAAUUCAUCAAGAAGUUUGUUGUAGAAUUAAAACAUAUGCACAUUCAAACACAUUAUUAAUCCAUUUUUAUAUAUUAUUUUGAUUUGUAAUGAAUUUCAACAUUUUCAUUUUAUAUACAAUUCUGAAUCAAAAUGUAAGAAGCAGAAUUCUGAAUUAGUAUUUCCAAAAUAAGGUAUUCUAAUAAGUUAUUUUUAAGGUGGCCUUCUAGGGAAACAUCAAAUUUUAAUUAUUUCUUCUAUAUUCAGAAAAUACAGAUUUGGAGGUAUUGAAAAAAGUAACAUUUUCCUGUAGUAAAAUCUUAGUUCUGAUGAAAAUCCUUUUCCACCAGAAAACAUUCCUGCACAGGAUUUUUUUGCUGUCUCUAAGCAGCUCAUUUUGGUUUCUUUUAAAUACCUAUAGUUAAGUUUAAUUCCAAACUUCAUAUGAUUUUCAAAUUGAGAAAAUUGCAAAUCAAAGGGAAAGUUUGUGGGAAAAUACAAGCUAUACUUGAGGCUUGAUGUUAAAAGUAAUUCACGACUAGCCAAUAAUAAAAGCUUUAGAAGUGUAUUUAGAACAAAUAGCCCCCUCCACUGACUUCCACUUCCAUCAUUUCCUCCAGUAACUGAGGGUGAUUUUGCAGUUGCCACACUAUACUCUUCUUACUAAGCAGCAAAGGAUUUAAUGAAAACCUUAGCACUGCCAAGACCCUUGCAUACUGAACUGAAGUUUGUAUCAUCAGUGAAGAACUUAGAACAUGUGUGGUCCACAGCUAUUCUCAGAUUUAGAAAUUUUAAUAUGGAAAUAUUGCAAGUGCAAAUACUUCAAUUACAUCUGUUGGUCUGUCCAGGGAUUACCUUUGCUUAGUUUGAAAGCAUUGUGCUCUCACCACAGUUUCAAGUCCAAUAUAAAACUACCUUUGAUAAAUACUUCACCAAGGAUGACUUUCCUAUAAGAACAGGAAUUACACAAAGAUGAAUGAUGCCCUUUGAACACACUAGUAUUUUAUUUAGUGUUAAUUUCUUGCUUAUUGUGUGUUUUACAACAUAAAAGAGCUUUUAGGAACAUGAUUCCAUCAAACAGGAUUUGAUGACUCAUAUUUAGUCUUGGUGAGUGUCUUCUACCAAUUUUAUUGGUAGAAAAAGAGUUAAAAUAGCUCUCAAAAAGAGGCUGAUGGAGAGAAGACUGAUUGGAAAUACUGGACAACUUUUAAUAUUUUUUCCCCUUACAGAUCUUUCCAUGUCUUAGCUGCACAGAUCAAUUCCAUAAUUCAUGAUAACUAUUUCCAUAACUUAGCUUUUCCUUCUCAAAUCUGCAUGCCUAUUUUGCUGUUAUUUUGAUUUCCAUAGCUAUUUGAUAGUUAGAGAUUGUACUUCAUCUCAAUUGCUUUUGCAAAUAAAUGUAUUUGAUUUAUUCAAAAUUCCCUCUUUGUCUGGAGCAGCUGUUCUUUUUAUCAUCUCUAAACUGAUAUCUUUAAAUGCCCUACAUGUGAAGAGGAAUAAUAAAGCCUUUAUAUUGGAAAAUGCA
Haemorhous mexicanus (house finch) is the source of this 3195-nucleotide long non-coding RNA. RefSeq lists it as uncharacterized. The transcript is spliced from 2 exons. The record is from RefSeq and is a predicted model, not a curated record. NCBI's taxonomy places the organism in Eukaryota, Metazoa, Chordata, Aves, Passeriformes, Fringillidae.